RNAcentral lists this ribosomal RNA (493 nucleotides) under uncultured bacterium. RNAcentral describes it as "partial 16S ribosomal RNA". It matches the Rfam family "Bacterial small subunit ribosomal RNA", at positions 28 to 506 of the family's 1533-position model. The record is from RNAcentral.
GACGAACGCUGGCGGCGCGCUUAACACAUGCAAGUCGAACGGAAAGGCCUGCUUUCCCUUGUGGAUUGCGGGUACUCGAGUGGCGAACGGGUGAGUAACACGUGAGUGAUCUGCCCCCAACUUGGGUAUAAGCCUGGGAAACUGGGUCUAAUUCCCGAUAGGACUGCAGGGUGGUGCCUGUGGUGGAAAACGAUUUUCUAGUGGUUGGGGAUGAGCUCGCGGCCUAUCAGCUUGUUGGUGGGGUAAUGGCCUACCAAGGCGGCGACGGGUAGCCGGCCUGAGAGGGUGGACGGCCACAUUGGGACUGAGAUACGGCCCAGACUCCUACGGGAGGCAGCAGUGGGGAAUAUAGCACAAUGGGCGGAAGCCUGAUGCAGCGACGCCGCGUGGGGGAUGACGGCCUUCGGGGUGUAAACUCCUUUCGACCGCGAGGAAGCCACCUGGUUGGAAGGGUGGUGACGGUAGUGGUAGAAGAAGCACCGGCUAACUACGU